Molecule: long non-coding RNA, 667 nt
Organism: Pygocentrus nattereri (red-bellied piranha)
Lineage: Eukaryota; Metazoa; Chordata; Actinopteri; Characiformes; Serrasalmidae
Exons: 3
Source: RefSeq, a predicted model, not a curated record
AUGGCGGAAAAACCGAAAAGCCCAAAAUGAACACAGCUGUGCUUUUCCCCUGUUUCAAAUCAUUGUGAACUCUGAUUUUUGACAAGCCUCAUUUCUCCUGAGAAUCUGCAUCAAGGAAUGACCACUGGACAUCUGAGGAAAACACAAGGAACAUGCUCUUCUGAUGUCCUCCAAUCCUGCUGAGAGCCUCACAGUCAAAACGGCCCCAAUCAGACAACCCCACACCUACGAUGAUAUCAUUGGUCUGUAUUGAGCCCUGCGAUGGACUGGCGACCUGUCCAGGGUGUAUUCUGCCUUCCGCCCCGCGACCCUGACGGAGAAGCGGCUUGGAAAAUGGAUGGAUGGAUGGAUGGAUGGAUGGUCUGUAUUGGAUUCGUAUUUCAAAGAAACCACACCAUAGGUUGUGGUGAAGCUGACGGAGCCCAACCUCUUCAGAGUGUCUCGGUCUGCUCAUUUUGUGUGCAUCACUUUUCACUUUCACUUUUCAAAAAAAAUUAUAUUCUAUCAAAUGGCAACAAUGUUUGUACUGCACUGUACCAUAGGAAGAUAUAACUCGUAUAGGUCCUUUACAUUUAUGUGGAGAUUCUUAAUGUUUUUUUUCGUGCUUUUAAAACAUCUGCUAAUUAAACAUUCAGAUGAGUGCACCCUCAUCAAAAUGCUUCUUUCA